Hemiscyllium ocellatum (epaulette shark) is the source of this 259-nucleotide long non-coding RNA. RefSeq lists it as uncharacterized. NCBI's taxonomy places the organism in Eukaryota, Metazoa, Chordata, Chondrichthyes, Orectolobiformes, Hemiscylliidae. The transcript has 3 exons. The record is from RefSeq and is a predicted model, not a curated record.
CCCUGUUGCCUGGGGAGAGGGUGAUGUUUGACUUUCUUGUACAGCUGCAGUUUGUGUGGUGAAGGUGCUCCCACAAUGUGGUUGGAUCCCAGUGAUUAAUGCCAAAGCCCCAUUGCCUGUGGAGAGGGUGAUGUUUGACUUCCUUGUACAGCUGCAGUUUGUGUGGUGAAGGUGCUCCCACAAUGUGGUUGGGUGGACAUUCAGAUGGUAACCUCAGUAUUUGUAAGACCAAACUCUGACAGAAUUACUCAAUUCACCA